AUCCCUGAAUCCGCAGUUGUUAAUGGAGUUCUCCAGGUUCCUGCUUCGAUUAUUGCCAAGGGGGUUGUGCAGCUAGAAUCGGCCAUGGUUACUCAGUUCCUUGGUCCUCCUCCUUCUGUUCGCGUCUUUGCCUCCAUGGAAAAUCGUCUUUGGGGUUUUGAAGGUGAGAUUUACAUCUCGCUAAUUUCUGAUGGAUUCUACUUGAUUGAAGUCCCCUCGGUCCAUCUUUGUGAAUGGAUUCGUGGAAGAGCUUGGCAUAUCCAUCAUUCACCUAUGGUUUUGCGUAAAUGGCAGCCUGGUAUCCAGCCUUUGGACCUGACAGUUCGUGCCUCCCCCUGUGUGGGGCACUUUGAGGCAAGUCCCUCCCCAACUCAUGACGAAUGAUGGUAUCGGCUGGAUUGUCAGCCGAUUUGGUAAGGUUCUCAACAAUUCUGUGAAACUUUGCCUUUUUAAAAAAAGGAUUUUGUGUGCCCUGGAGUUAUAUAAUUUCGUAUGGAGGAUGAGAUUGUGCAUAUCAAAGUUGAGACUCCACAAGUCAAGAAGAUGGAAACUGUUACUGCACCAGUGCAAGCUCGGAGGGAAAAGCAAAAGUCCCAGCCGACGUCUAAGGUGGAGGUUAGUAGGUGAGGAGGCUCCACCUCCAACUACUAAUUUCGGGAGUGUUUGAGAUGGUUGAGAUGGAGGAGUGGACACAACAACUAAAACUCGACAGGAGGCUUUUGUUGAGACCUCUCUUGAGGUGGAGACAGGCCCCUGAAGCCUAAGAGCACUGAGUGUGUGGAAAAGCUUGCACAACACUUAGCUCGUUUGGUUGGAAUCAAAGGGGUUUCAAUUCCCCUUCUAAGCACCUUUACCUUUACUCUUAUGUUAGAAAAUACAAUAUAUAUGUUUUUGAUAUUUUAAAAACUAGAGUUAAAGAAAGAAAAGCAAAUACUAUCGUUAGACACCACUUUUGGCAGUUGGAAGCACUUUACAAAUUAUUGUAGCAAUCCUUUUGGGAAAUUUUGGUUAAUAUGGAAAUCGAGUGUCCCUCUCACUGUGAUUGAUUAGUCAGCACAGUUUGUUUUGGCUCUUAUUGAUGGGGCUUCUCCCAUGUAUAUCUGUGUGGUCUAUGGAGCGAAUAUUCAAAGAGAAUGCAAUCAAAUGUACGAG
This 1152-nucleotide long non-coding RNA is filed under the name Linum usitatissimum (flax). Its description in RNAcentral is "long non-coding RNA (LUSI_LNC004882)". Lineage: Eukaryota; Viridiplantae; Streptophyta; Magnoliopsida; Malpighiales; Linaceae. The record is from RNAcentral.